UUUGACAUCUGACCUCAAAUCAGGUAGGACUACCCGCUGAACUUAAGCAUAUCAAUAAGCGGAGGA
Molecule: ribosomal RNA, 66 nt
Filed under: Phanerochaete sordida
Lineage: Eukaryota; Fungi; Basidiomycota; Agaricomycetes; Polyporales; Phanerochaetaceae
Description: partial 28S ribosomal RNA
Rfam family: Eukaryotic large subunit ribosomal RNA (bases 10-66)
Source: RNAcentral